CGGGAUGCGGCCGUUUGGAAGAGCUGAUCAACUACCAUCACCACCAUCGAAAAUAUUCUUAUUUUGUUUCCCAGCCAUGUCUCCAGUCUGGCUCUUUGCUGGCGAACUUCUGCUGUUCGUAAGCAUCCGUUAACUUGCGCAAUGCUUGCUUCCGAUUCUGCUGCCGCUAGGAGUCCUGGUAACGGCUUGCGGGAACCUUCCGUCAGUUUUUAUUUUCAUGUCCGAUGAUGGGAACGAUCAAAAGUUUCCCAUGUUUGAUUUUGGUGUCCUGGUGCCAUUUGGGAACCAGGUGAUCGUCGUCCGUUUUACUGGGAGGUUGCACAUGAUCGGAACUAUCGACGGUUUCCUUAUCGGGGCAAGUUCUUCAUCUUACAGAACUUUAUUCGGAACUAAAUGAGGCCACUUCCUUAGCAAUCGUUUGCAAAGCGAUUUCGGAGAUUUUACUAUUUCCCGUUGGUUAUUCGAACUAAAUAAACCGCCCCCCAACCCCCCACCUCAUCGGCGAUCAAAAUAAGAUAAGAACUAAAGGGACCACAACAAGUUCGCGGGAUGCGGCCCUUGAAAAAAGAUGACCAACAACAAAAAGGAAGCAUCCCUCGGAUGGCUCUCGAGGACUGCAUCUAUGCAUCUAUUGCGCGCUAUCUGGGAACGACUAUCAGCUCCCUUAGGGCGCUUGUUCAAUACUGUAAUGUCUCUUGGUGUGAUAACUCAAAGCCAAAGCACCGCUUCAAGUGAAGCUGUUCGUUUGAUACAGUUUCAAAUUGCCUCCUUCCCCCCUGAAUUAUUCAGCCGCUACAUAUACAUGGACUGGACCACCAGAUGAUGGCGAUCUAGAAGUUGGUCCGCCUCUCAGUUUGGACUGUUGCCCUUCUCCGAAGAAAGAGAAAAGGAAAUUUUACUUGGCUUUGCUGUUCCUUCAUCGACCGAAAAGGCCAUUCGGGUUUCACGGAUCUCUGCUAAUGGUGGCCAAGAGGAAUCAAAUUUUUAUAUUAAUCGGAACAACACGCCAAGAUGUUCAAAAUACAAUAAAUAGCGACCAGUAUUAAUCAACAGUAUCGAGAAAGUCGUUAGAUGGGGUUAACUACAUUGACUUCACCAAACAAAUAGACGGCUAAGGUACCCAAAAAGCAACAAAACGGGGUUUCAGGGCCUUACGCCAAAAGUUUCUUCUGAGGGACGCAUGCUAUCAGGGAUAGUUUUGAAAGGAGGAGCGGGGGGCAACUGCUUUUUUUGCAUUCUUUUUGAGUUCCUUCGGAUGGAUUCCGGUGACGGUAUUGAUGA
Long non-coding RNA from Uranotaenia lowii, 1281 nucleotides. RefSeq lists it as uncharacterized. The record is from RefSeq and is a predicted model, not a curated record. Lineage: Eukaryota; Metazoa; Arthropoda; Insecta; Diptera; Culicidae. The transcript is spliced from 4 exons.